Molecule: ribosomal RNA, 253 nt
Filed under: uncultured bacterium
Lineage: Bacteria
Description: partial 16S ribosomal RNA
Rfam family: Bacterial small subunit ribosomal RNA
Source: RNAcentral
UACGGGGGGGGCAAGCGUUGUUCGGAAUUACUGGGCGUAAAGGGCUCGUAGGCGGCCAACUAAGUCCGACGUGAAAUCCCCAGGCUUAACCUGGGAACUGCGUCGGAUACUGGAUGGCUUGAAUCCGGGAGAGGGAUGCGGAAUUCCAGGUGUAGCGGUGAAAUGCGUAGAUAUCUGGAGGAACACCGGUGGCGAAGGCGGCAUCCUGGACCAACACUGACACUGAGGAGCGAAAGCCAGGGGAGCAAACGGG